AGUAUCAGGGUUGUAGGAUAGGGGCCCCUAGAGUUUUUCGUACCCCUCACCCGAGGUUGGGUGAGGCUUGACAGGGCUAUCCUUAGAUAAUUUGUGUAUUGGAUUGUGUCUCCCUUAUGGUAGUUAUUUAUGGUAGUUGCUGUCUGAUAUUAUUGCAUGCUAUUUUAUUUAUGGUUCUUAUGUUUAGAUAAUUAUUUACGCUAUUUCUG
RNAcentral lists this long non-coding RNA (209 nucleotides) under Nicotiana benthamiana. RNAcentral's name for it is "long non-coding RNA (NBEN_LNC004357)". Lineage: Eukaryota; Viridiplantae; Streptophyta; Magnoliopsida; Solanales; Solanaceae. The record is from RNAcentral.